CGACACAUAACGUCUCCAUGUUGUUAGUUGUUUAGUAGUUACUGAGUUUCUUCUGUUCACAGGAAGAUCCUCGAUGGCCAUUUAGAAGUUUUUAUAUUAUUUGAACCAAAAGCUGAAUCUAACAGAUGAAACCUUGUUAAUAAUCUGGAGCUGGUUGAGAUCAGUGGUCGGUGGAUGAUUUCCAGACGUGUUUAAUGACAAAAACUUCACUCAGCAGGACUCUCUGAUUCUUCAGAUGGAAGGUCUGUUCCUUCACUUCCAGCUCAGAACCAUCUCCAGUUUGGUUUUCUGUCUCCUACUGACUCACUGUUCUAGAGUGUCAGCUCCUGUCUCCUCACCCGUCAUCAGUUUAUCAGGGAUGGACAGAGACAGA
Molecule: long non-coding RNA, 373 nt
Organism: Mugil cephalus (flathead mullet)
Lineage: Eukaryota; Metazoa; Chordata; Actinopteri; Mugiliformes; Mugilidae
Exons: 3
Source: RefSeq, a predicted model, not a curated record